AUACGGAGGGUCCGAGAGUUAUCCGGAAUCAUUGGGUUUAAAGGGUCCGUAGGCGGGAAUCUAAGUCAGUGGUGAAAUCUUGCAGCUCAACUGUAAAAUUGCCAUUGAUACUGGAUUUCUUGAAUUAGUGUGAAGUGGUUAGAAUGUGUAGUGUAGCGGUGAAAUGCAUAGAUAUUACACAGAAUACCAAUUGCGAAGGCAGAUCACUAACACUAUAUUGACGCUAAGGGACGAAAGCGUGGGGAGCGAACAGGAUUAGAUACCCUAGUAGUCC
This 274-nucleotide ribosomal RNA is filed under the name uncultured bacterium. RNAcentral's name for it is "partial 16S ribosomal RNA". It matches the Rfam family "Bacterial small subunit ribosomal RNA", at positions 523 to 796 of the family's 1533-position model. The record is from RNAcentral.